Molecule: long non-coding RNA, 523 nt
Filed under: Phoenix dactylifera (date palm)
Lineage: Eukaryota; Viridiplantae; Streptophyta; Magnoliopsida; Arecales; Arecaceae
Description: long non-coding RNA (PDAC_LNC011626)
Source: RNAcentral
UUGAGGGGGAGCUUUAAAUACUCAAUCUCUUUAUUGAAAAUUAUCUUCAAACUCUAAACUCUCAAAUGGAAUGAUUAAUUAAGAGGGAGAAAGAAAAUUUCAGAGGAAGAGAUCAUAUAGAACUUAAUCGUAUAAAUUCGCAUCUAAAGAUGAGACAAAAAAUACUAAAUGUAAAGUGGUAUUAAACUUUGUGCUUCAUUGAAUAUCUUUUGAAAGUUGGAUUUCCAUCUAUAUUCAUCGGUAAAUCAUUUAUUUCUGAAAAUUAAUGAAAAAGGAUUCCAUCUGUCUUAGUAUCGAAAAUUCAUCUUGGAAUCUACUUAUGAGUUCUUAUUGGCUUGCACUUUAGUGUUUCAAUCCUGAGCCAAUUCAUUUUAAUUGAUUUUGAUGCUAUGAUCUUUAAAGGAGUAAAAGAAAGUCUUUAAGAGAGCUUUAAAAGAACUUUCAAAGCCCUGAAUUUUAUAUAUCCUACAUUGCAUAAAUUCAUAUUUUGGUAUCUAUGCUCCAAUACUUUUAUAUCAUGAAA